RNAcentral lists this ribosomal RNA (629 nucleotides) under Halalaimus sp. Cr73b. RNAcentral's name for it is "eukaryotic LSU rRNA". It matches the Rfam family "Eukaryotic large subunit ribosomal RNA", at positions 367 to 944 of the family's 3401-position model. Lineage: Eukaryota; Metazoa; Nematoda; Enoplea; Enoplida; Oxystominidae. The record is from RNAcentral.
CAAAGAACUUUGAAGAGAGAGUUCAAUAGGACGUGAAACCGUACUGAGAAUAAACGUGCGAGUUAGAACGUUGGCGCAGAUUCAGCAAUACUAUGUAUUGUGCAUUUCGGCGUCGCGGCGACCGGGGAGUGGAGUGCUCUGACGUGCUGUGUGGCGGGCUGUUUCGACAGUGUCCUGCGCGGUGCUGAAGGUACUAAGUUCCUUAAAUGGCACUAUUUUCGUGGCGGCAGUCGCGCUGGUAGUCCCUCCAGGGGUCAGUCCAAUAGGACUGGGGUUUGGACGGAUUUCUACGUUCGGAGCCCACGAUGUUUGUGUCGGGUUGCCAGAGUUUGACCUUGCACGACCCGUCUUGAAACACGGACCAAGGAGUCUAAAUUGUGCGCGAGCCAUUGGAUUUUAUCUCCAUAGGCGAAACGAAUGUGAUGAGGUUGGAUCUUUAUGCGCACCUCAAACGUGUGCUUUGUUCGCAUUGCGCUCAGUCGGAGUGCACAGAUUAGUACCCGAAAGAUGGUGAACUAUGCUUGAGCAGGAUGAAGCUAGAGGAAACUCUGGUGGAAGUCCGAAGCGGUUCUGACGUGCAAAUCGAUCGUCAGACUUGAGUAUAGGGGCGAAAGACUAAUCGAACCAUC